Panicum virgatum (switchgrass) is the source of this 237-nucleotide long non-coding RNA. RefSeq lists it as uncharacterized. Lineage: Eukaryota; Viridiplantae; Streptophyta; Magnoliopsida; Poales; Poaceae. The record is from RefSeq and is a predicted model, not a curated record. The transcript is spliced from 3 exons.
CCUCACAUUGAGCUUGGUGAAGGACCUUACAAUACCAUAAGAUGGAACCCCAAAGGACGAUUUAUUGUAUUAGCAGGAUUUGGUAAUUUGCCUGGUGAUAUGGCGUUCUGGGAUUAUUCAGAAAAGAAUUUGGUGGCGAAAACAAAGGCAGAAUGUUCUGUCACAAGUGAAUGGUCCCCUGAUGGUCGUCACUUUAUGACUGCUACAACAGCUCCAAGGCUCCAAAUAGACAAUGGG